RNAcentral lists this long non-coding RNA (9867 nucleotides) under Malus domestica (apple). RNAcentral's name for it is "long non-coding RNA (MDOM_LNC005179)". Lineage: Eukaryota; Viridiplantae; Streptophyta; Magnoliopsida; Rosales; Rosaceae. The record is from RNAcentral.
GUUUGAAGGCCCCUGGGACAAUGAGGAUUGCAUUUCAGAGUAGCAGAAAUACAAGGCCACCCUCUCUUUGUGUAUCCAAUCUUACUCUUCUCCUAAAUUUUUAUCAAACUAUAGGAUUUAUUUUGCUGAUUUUAGUUUUUGCGAUUUGAGUUUUUAUCCCUUGCUUAUUUUUUAUUUUUUUGCAGAGGUAUUACUUUUCCUUUGACUAGAAAUUUUAGUGUUUUUAAAGUAUAAUGUUAUCAAAUUCUAUUUUUCUAAUUUUCUGAUUUUGGCCUUUUGCAGGGAGUGCUAAGAUACUGAAUUUUUGGGAUUUUUUUAUCUUUGCAUGAUUUUUGGUCUUUGAAAUGGGUAUGUGUUGUUUUUAACAUUUUGGUUCUCAAAUGUUCCGUUCUUUGAUUUCUGUUUUCUACCUCCUUCUAGGUUGCUUCGUGAUUUUCAUUUUCCAUUGUUGGCUUAUGGAAUUUAUAAAAAUGGUUGUAGUUUUGUGACCAAAUCCUAGUAAGAGUGUGCCAAAACAUAGAUUAGCAUGCAGUGAACAUACAUUGAAUUAGAACAAAAUUUAAUAUAUAAGUGAAGGCAUGUGCAGUGAACAGACAUUGAAUUUAAAAUUGAUAGGGUAGUUAAGCUUCUACCUUAGUUAUUCUUUGUCACUCACUUUUGGAAUUUAAUUCAUUCAUUUCAAAGUCACUCAUGUGCUCUGUCUUACUCUAUUCACUCAUUUUUAGUAUGCACCAUUGAUUUUUUUUGUCAUAUAUUAUUCACUCAUCUACUACACUAAUGUUGAGAUUUGGGUAUCAUUUGUUUUCUCAUAUGAAAUUCACAAGAUAGCUUCUCCAUCCUCGUUCCUCUGCUUUUGUAAUAAUGUGUUUUAGGUUGCAGAUUUCAAAGUGGAUGAAUCAGAAGGGGAUAUGCAUAUUUUCGCCGGUUGAGCAUGUCGUGCAGCUGGAUUUGAUUGGGAAGGCAGAAUUUUGCACAAAUUGCUAUCAAAUAAAACCAGUUUGAGCCUGUGGGUCAAAUCCUAUUGGACAUUGUUGCAUCAUGGAACAUGUGAUUGUUGGGAAGUUUAAGCUAGGGAGGAAGAUUGGGAGUGGGUCUUUCGAAGAACUCUAUUUAGGUAUGGUAAUCAGUGUUUGAUAUCCUUUUUUCCUUAGAAAAUUAUUCAUUGUGUUAAUUUAAUGUGUUUUGUAAUGAAAUUGCUCUUCUAGUGUUAGGUGUAAAUGUACAUGGUGGGGAGGAGGUCGCUGUUAAGCUGGUAUGGGAUCGAUCCUCAAAUCUUAGAUUCAAUUCUGAUGUUUGGUUUAUGGCUAAAUAUUUGCAAGCAUUGUAUAGUUUUGUGCCUGAUUGUAAAUGGGCAGCUUCAUUAAUGUACUAGGAUAUGUUGAGUGUGAGCUUCUGGUAAUUCAUUAUGAUUUCAUGUGUGCUUCCAUAUAUAUUGAAAUUGUCCAGUUUGCUCAUGGAUGUUUCUGUAUGAUUUUGCAUGUCUCCCUUGAUAAAAGCUUGAGCAAAAUAUGCUUAUGAAAUCGAUAUGUGGUUUAGCUUUAUAAAUGUGCCUGCAUCUGUACUGCUUAUUUGCUACCCAUAUAAACAUAUAACUUUAUAUGAGAUUGCCCCCCAUUUGAAAAUGAGUGUUUUUAUGCGAUGUUUAUAUGUGUAGGCACUGGAAUUAGUGUCUUUUGUUUUUAUUUUGAUCUCAGCUGCUCAAAACUGAAUUUUUUUGUUGGUGUGAAUAUAUAUGUUAACAUAUAAUAUCAGCAUUUGGAGUGAAUCAAAUUCAUUUUAAAUUUUCUUAAAUUUAUUGAUUAUCAGAUGACAUAGUUAACAACUUCUGUGAUUUUAAAACACUUGGAGGUGAGAUUUACAUAAUUAAAUAGUCAAUUGAAAAAUUGAAAUGAGAUGUUAGUUUUACCUGACUAAUUUCUUUGUUGGGUUUAUUACUGCUCAAUGUUAAAACCCAAAAAUGGUUUUUUGGGCAAGUGGUGAUUGGCCCGCCUGGGUUAGGAAAGACCAUUUACUGCAAUAGCAUGUCUGAGUAUAUCUAGCUCAUCCGAAGGUAAAAAAUUUCACUCUGAAUUCUGGGUUUUCAAGUUUUUCCAUGGCUUCAAUUUUGGUUUUUGAAUACAUCUGAAAUAUUUACAGUGGCAAUUUGUUGUUUUGGUGUGCAGGAAAGUUUUUGUGGUAAAUUUGGAUCAUGCAGCCGAUGCAUUGCCGUAUCCUUUUCAGGGUUUUAUUUUUUUCAUGUUUAUUGUUCGUAAUUUGUAGUGUUGCACUGCAUUCCAAUAUCGAAUAUUGAGGGUAAUAAACUAGAGCUACUGGUUCACCUUUCAUUUGAUCUUCUACUUAUUUCGAUUGAAUUCCAAGAAUUUUUUUUAUUUGCUUAGUUUAAUUUGUUGUUGUUCAAUUGUUAUGAAAAUCUGUGAAUGUGUAUGAAUUAUUGGUUAUGAUUUUUGUUGAACAAUGUGAAGUUGCUUGGUGUUUUAAGUUCUUGAUCCAAAGAAAGUUGCGUUAUUUCGUAAUGACAUUGCCGUUUGUAGUGGUUGUUUGGAUUACUGUGUCAUUUUAUUUAUGCAACACUUAUAUGAUACCUUUCUUAUUGGCUGUAUGUGAAUCAUCAAUAUCUUAUAGAUUAAUAUGCUUACCAUUUCGUAUACAUAUGUUUUUUAUUCAUGUUAAAACUUUUUGUAUUAUUUUUGUGUUUGUCAUUGGCAGGUGAAUUUGUAAACAUUCAUAAUUAUCCAUAGGACCUUGAGGGAGUAUGCAAUUAGUAUUCAUAUAGAUGGUUAUUUGUGUUAACGAUGAAAGCAUCUGGUUUAGGUUUGUCCUCAAAAUUUAUGCUUAGUUGUAAUAAUGCUUUUGCUUAGUUGUUCAUGUAAAAAUGGAACAAUUUUUUUUUGUACAUAUAUCAUUUUAUAUUUGUUUAAGUUUGAACUUAUGCUUAUUAACUUGGUUAUUGGUAAGGCUCUUCUAGAGGCAGUGUUGGCGUGUAGAUGAUGUGGAAGUAGGCGAUGAGGAGGAAAUGACAAAGGUGGAGGACCAAAAGGUCUUAUAGAAGAAAAAGAAGCUCAGAAGUCUGAUACACCAAACAACUCCAUCUGAAAGCGGAAGAAUCCAAAGGUAAACCCCUUCAAACUCUUCGAUUAUGGUGUUCUUUAGUCGAUUGCAAGACUAGAACUUGAAAAACUAACACAUGCAUAUAAUUUUUUUGUGAAGGAACUGCGGUCCAGUGGCUGUAUAAAACAAAAGGACAACGCAUGCUCUCUCCCUCACAGUAGCUCCGUGUUUCUCUCGCCCCAAACCUAAUGGCUUCAUCCCAAUUCAGAGCCUGCUCAGAUCGGGACUUCUUGGAGAUUCAGAGCUCCAGGUGAGAUAAUUUUCCCCAAAUUGUAUUCAAUCUAUGUUGCUUCAUUUCAUUUUCCAUUUUAAUUUGGAAUUGUUGAUAUUUUAGGCGGGUAUUGCAUGUAUAACCACAACAAUUUUUGUGUUGGAUUGGGGUCAAAUUGUCCAGCUUUAUUAGCUAUUUGGUCGACUUUGUAUUUGUAAUCUGAAUAAUAUGAAUUAGGGUUUUUCUGUUAGUGUCCAAUUGGUCAAGAAAGGAUGCUUCUGUUUUGUUAUCAUGCAUAUUUAAGCUGUAAACAUCUGAAAAACUGCUUAAUUGAAGUGAUAUUUCCAGUUUUUGAGCUCAGUUUCAGGUUUUGACCUUUGAAUUUGUUUACAUGUAUCCCAACUGAAGCUAUAUACAUCGUAGUUUAAGGGGAUUUUGCUCAAAAUCUGGAGAGCUCUCUCGCUUUGCUCUCUAUGUAAACCCGAGAGAAAUUCCAUGGAAACAUCACGCCUACAAACGAAGUUGCAGGCCUACACACAAGCAAACUCCAUCUGAAAGCCAAAGAAUCCAAAGGUAAAUCCCUUCAGCUUUCUUAGCUAUUUGGUCGACUUUGUAUUUGUAAUUUGAAUAAUAUGAAUUAGGGUUUUUCUGUUAGUGUCCAAUUAGUGAAGAAAUGAUGCUUCUUUUUGUUAUCAUGCAUAUUUAAGCUGUAAAUAUAUGAAAAGCUGCUUAAUUGAAGUGAGAUUUCCAGUUUUUGAGCUCAAUUUCAUUUCUUAUAGACAAUUUUUUUUCAAGUUUUCUGGGUUUCUUUUUGCUGCUUCUCUGUUAAAUUACUCAUCUGGAAGUUAAAUUUUGUUCAAAUACCAAGUAUUGUUCUUCAAUUAAAGAUUUCUGGGUUUUUUUAUUGCUUCUUUUCUAUUAAAUUACUUAUCUGGAAGUUAAUUUUGUUCAAAAACUUACUGUUCUUCAAUUAAUCUUACAAGAAAGCAUAUGAGAACGUGGCACAUUAGGUGUUCGAUGAAAUGUGUCUGAGAAUCUGUCAGUAUGAUAUAUUAUAAUUCUGAAUCUCCUCUUCAGCUCUAGCCACAGGUGCGCAAAGGCGACAUGGUCCUGGUCGACAGUUCGGAGCUCUGGCGAUUCUGACUGAGAAAGAGGUCAUUAACAACAAGGUAAUGGAAUUCAAUGUUUUGUGUUUGGAGAUUUUUUUUUUUCCCACUUUUUGAGGGACUGAUGGACAGGGAGAGAGAGAGAGGGCAGAGAGCAUGCUGUGCGUUUUUGGGGGUUAACGGGUUACCCCACGGGGCUGAUGAGCAGAGGAUGUCCGAGGGAGGUAUGGGAGAGGAGGGUUUUCAGUUUUGUCAUCUAAUUCAACAGGUAAAACAUUGUUCAGAAAUCAUUGUUUAUUGUUUGUUUCCCAUUUGCUUUGUUAAAACUAUGAUUGACAAUUUUUUGUUUCGACAAAAUUGUAAUGGAUGUUUAUAGCUUGUUUAGUUGGGUGUUACGAAGAUAAGUCUGUUUGGUGCACUGUUUUGUACACUGUUAGAGUAAGGUUGUGUCUUUUAAACUUGGGGUGUUGCACUGUGCUAAUUUCUGUUUUCUUCAUGCUUUGCUGUUGUUUCCUUCUCAAAAGUCGAAUUCAGGUUCCUUUUCUGCUUUUCAUCCUUUGAAUAUCCCUCUGUUGCUAGGUUGUUUCUCCAUGUUUUGUUGAUUCUCUAUUUGUGUGAUAAGGGUGUUAGAAGGCUGUUUUAUUUAUUGUUUUGCUCCUCUGUUGCUAGGUAGUAUAAUUUUGAAACAAGUUUCUUCUCUAUGUGUUCAAAUGCAUCAUUGUUUUUCGUUCUUUAGUUUCUUUUUCAUCAUUAGCUAUCUUAUGAUCAUUGAUAGUUUAAUACCACUUGGGAAUUCACAUGCCACAACAAUAUUAAUUUCCAAGCUCCCCUGUUUGCAGCUUUAGCACGGUAAAACUUUAGUUUGAUCUAGGGAUGGUUUGGGAGUGAGGUGCUUAAAAAAAAGCACCCAUGAAAAAAAGCUGUGAGGGUUUUAGGUGUUUGGUAAACUGAAAAAAAAAAGGCUUAUUUUGGAAGCUGCUGUGAGAAUAAGCUGAAAUCAAAGGAAAAAGCUGAAGCUGCUAUUUGCAGCUUUGGAAAACUGGCUUUUUUUUCAAAGCACACGGAGCUACAGUGCUCCUUUAAUGAAAAGACCCAUUAUCAGACUGCUUUUUUUCCAAAAACACUUUUACAAAAAAGUUUACCAAACACUCUGCUGAUUUAUUUCACAGCCGCUUAUUUUCACAACACAGCCGCUUAUUCUCAUAGCAACUUUUUUCCAAAGCACAGCAAUACCAAACCAGCCCUUAGUAUUGUGCUUUGCAAUGAACUUUGAGUGUUGAUAUAGGUGCAGGCAAGUAGUCAAACCACGUACAAAGUUUGGUGUUCACGUUCUUUGAUUGUAUUCCUAAAUUUGUGUUGGAUAUGCAAUUAUAUGUUUCAAUAUUUUUCUGGAAAAUGUUGAGAUAAUUGGAAAAAAAAUAAAAAAUUGGCUGGUGCUGAAUGAUGUCCAUGCCAUAGUUUUUAACAAAUUUCAAUUAGUUUUAAACAAGCAAGAAGCCACCUUUCAAGUACUGAAGCAUAUGUAAGAGAAUAUGUAAAACUGAAAACCAUUUAUAAUUAAAAAAAAAGGGACGGAUUUACGGGCCACAUGAGAUUUUGACAUUUUGACUGAUGAAAUCGAGGAUCUGCAGCAAUGGCGCUCAAAUCCCCACUCCUCCCUCUCCCUUUCUCUCGCUCCCAAACUUCUUUAUUCCAAGUUGAAAAUAUGUUGUGAAUAUGUGUGAGUAGAGUUGUAAAACAGAGAGAGAAAAUGAACUUUAAACAAAUGAAGGAAACAAAAUUUGAGCAAAAACUUCCAAUCUUUAAAAAUGUGAGGCUUUUCAGUAGGUGUGUUUUGUAAAAAGGUUUUAAUCUUUCUUAGAAAUGUAGCUUUCUCAGUUAUGCAAUGCUUUUAAUAGGUGUAUUUUUAUCUUUCCUGAUUGCUGAUUUAAUUUGGGUUUUGUUAAUAGUUUAAUUUGGAGUUUAAUUGAAGGUUUAAUUCAGGUUUGUAGUUGGGGAUUAAUUGAGGGUUUUACUUUACUUAGCUUAAAUUGCAGAAUGUGGCUUUAAAUUUGAAAGUGUCUAGGUUGCUAACAGAUCUGCUUUCUUUGCAGAUUACAGAAAUUUGGAUCGUUUGAGGAAGAAGUUGGUUCCAUGCUGUUUUGAUGUAUAUAAUUAUAUGCCAUCAUUUUUGUUCAAAGCCUACUUAGCUAUCCACCUUUUUUAUUUAUAUUUGUGAAGCUUUCAUGGUUAGAUUUUAAAUAUAUAAAUUCAAUUUUUGUCAUUUAAGCUUAUAUUGGAACUAAGUUUCUUUCUAUUUAGUGUGUGUAUCAGUAUUUGUCCAUUUAUGUCAGGGUUGAGAUGACUAGGCAUCCAUUUGGUCGUUUUACGUUAGAAUGGAAAUGGGCAAUAGAUUAGGUUGCAAGAUAAAUUUCUAAAGUUCUACUAGCUUAGGUACAAAUUAUUUUUCAGAAAUCAAACAUGCAAAAUUUGUAUGCAUGUUUUGGAAUUGGUUGUAGGAAGUGUGCUUCCAAGUCUUAACAAUAAUGGAGACUAUGAAAUAAGGGUAACCAAAUAGGGGUAACUAUAUAUUUCAAAAAUGCAAAUUUUACACACACACACACACACAUAUUCUGUCAAGAAUCAGUUUUGAUUGGCACAGAUGAAGAUGAACAAUAAGAGGGUUUUCUAUUCAAAUUUACUUUUUGUAAUUUUAGGGGUUUUGAUCAUACAUGUGUAUUUCAUUUGGUUUGUUUUCAGUUUCAGAAGACUCUGGUUUUUUUGGGCCUUUUCUUUGCAGCGUAGAAAGCCCUCUGUGCUCAAGGUAAACAAUUUCAACUUUUUACUUCUAAAGCGUUGCUCUUAUUUAGCGGUAGGUAUUCCAUUGUAUACAAUAAUAUGUUUGUGUUAUGCUAGGAACCCUGUUUCCCCUUUUUGUCUUUUUGUGCACUCAGAAAACAAGCCACUCUAAUUGAAGCUUUCUAUCUUCAGAUCACCAGCAAUAAUCUCAUCAAGGUCCCAGGAGGAAUCAUGAGGAUUCACUGCCGAAUUGGUAUGUACUUAUGCUUUUGCAAAAAGCCCUUUUCUUGCCAUUUUUCUGUUUUAGAAUUGGGACCAAAAUGAUUAUGAGUGAUUUUGAAAAACACUAAAAGGUCGUACCCAGUGCACAAGGCUCCCGCUUUACGCAGGGUCUGGAAGAGGUGAAAAAAUGGCUAUCAAGUAAGCAGGUUGUGAGUAUUCAAACAUAUAAUUUUCAGUCAAAUGAAAUAGUUGGCACCACAAGCUUUUAAGUAGGGAGGGAUGUUUGAUUAUAUAUUUUUUGGUUUUUAUUUUUUCUCCUCAGUUGUUAUUUUCCUUUUACUGUAUAUUGUAUCUUCUGUUUGCGAAUGCCUCUGUUUUUUUACUUGCUGAGAAUGCCUGUCAUGGGUGGCUCAACAGGACCGGGAAAUCUGGAGAGGGGCAAGGGGUUAGCAGAGGGGGGAUUGGGCAUGUAGCAUCAGGGCUAGGUUACCAAGAUGGUGUUUGGGUGGGUUUGGCAGUGGGUCAUAUGGGGGAGGGUGGUGAUGCACUCCGAACUCACGAAGGUGCACAAACAUUACGAGUGCAUCACCAUAAAAAAAUUUCAUAUUUAAUUGUUAUACCCUUCACAGUAAAUAAUUUCCACAUCAGAGUUUUUUGAAACUUAGAAGACAUCGGAAACACGAUUCGCAUAGCAGACUAGCUUAUAGAUGAUAUAAUAGUCAGAUAACAAAGUUCUCAACUAAGGGUUCAGAGAGACUCAUUUCUAUGUCCAAUCAUGAAGCAUCUUUUGAUUUAAAGACCUUUUCUUUCUCCAAUUAUGCCUCUGUCAACACUUUUUGGUUUAAAUGCACUCAUUUAGUAUUCACAUUUAUCUGAUAGACCAGAUGAAAAAAAAGGAAAACAUGGAUUAUAUAUGCACGAAGGGCACCACAACAAAUUGUUUUGGAAUUUGAGUUUGGAUUGGAAUUUAAUUUCGAUAUACAAAAGCAUUCACCUUAAACACAGAGGAAUCAGAUGCUUGAGUUAAACAAUUAGCUGAUCACAAAUUGGUAUUCUUUCGGUAUUCUUUCUUCUGAUUUUUCUUAUAAAAGACCAUGCUUAGCAAAGAAAGGAGCCAAAUUUAUCUCCCUGUACAAUGGGUGACCAAAACUUAGAAGCAACUGGUUUUUAUUUUCUUUAAUUAUAGAAGGCAGAUAGUAAUUCUUCAUUUUUUUUAAAAAAUAUUAAGAUAGUAGGACUUACAAGAUUUCUGUGAUGAGAUUUUACUUUUGUCCACGACUACAUCAUUUUAGAAUUGCAGUAGAUUAUUAUAUGGUUAACGGGUAAGUUUCUUAUACUAUUACAUACUUAUUCUCAUGGAACCACAGUUCUUCCUUCUCGACUUAUUUGCCAAAAUCUUUUCAGUUUCAGCAGCAGCGGUCACCACUCUUCCCCAAAGGUAAAUUUCUCCUCGCUUUCUUAGAUUCAGAAUCUUCAAAAUCCUCAUCUACAUCGUUUGAUUUCUGCAAUUUCGAUUCCACAGAAACAUGGACUUGCUUUGUUCUCUCUGCAGCGCUGCCCAUUUUCCACCAAAAUCACAUCUUAAACUCUUCCAAUUUCGAACAUGAGAUGCCCGGAGAUGGUCAGUACCCUCACUCAUACCCAAUUUACCCAAAAAUAAUUUUAAUAUCAGUGAUGGGUUCGUGUUCUCUCACAAAUUUGCUUUGUUGCUUCCCGCUUCGUUUGACUGCAUCUUCCUUUGUUUUAACUUUCGUUUUCGUUUUGCUUUGUGCUCUCUCGCCGUCAAACGAUGUUCUAUUUUUGUGAGAGUUGUUGUCUAAAACAUUUCUAAAUAUUUCUCUCUGUGUCUGAGUCUGGGAUUUGGGUCUAUUUUGAAGGCAUCUUCGCGUCUGUGAAGCUGAGGAGCAGAUUCGUGAGAUUGAGUAUUCUUCUAAACCCCUCUUUUUCGUUGAUGGGUUUUGUAUAUAUAUGGGUGAAUUUUUGUAUUUCAUUCUUCAGUUUAACUCCUUUAUUGUGAUGGUGUUACAUACAUAUAAUAUUGAAUUUCGUGGAGUAGACUAAUGCUUAGUAUUUGAUGUUGCUGUACCUUGAAUUUGUUUCAAGUUCUUUUAUAUAAGACUACCCCUUAUGAAGAAGUGAACUAAAUAGGGUGAUUCUUAUAUUUGCCAAGAUUUGGUUCCCCAUUAUUAGUUUUACAUGCAAUAAGAAUACUGUGGAUCAAAUUGUAGGUCCAAACGUCUCUUGAAUGAGAUGUAUAUACCUGAUGAAUUGCUUAAACAUGAUUUGGAUGGUAAACCUUUUGUUGAUAUACCAAGCUGCCCAGUUUUAGUGUUUGUUGCUUAUGUUUCUCAGGAAACAGAACAUUUUUUGCAGCUGUAUCUUUUGUAAUCAGCUCGAUUGAAUGUAUAUAAAAAUCAAACUGCUUAUCUUACUGACACCUUU